UGCCGUUAGGGUUCCAUUACAAUCCAUCGUAAUUCGAUUACAUGUCACACCAAGUAGCUGUUAUAUUUUGAAAAAGUGGCAGUAAUACGCUUUUCGUUUCCGUAUUGAAAACAGAGAAGAUCUCUCCACUGCAACCUUUAAGCAAGUUUUGAAGCUCUUUUGUACCGUCUUUGUGGUCAUUCUUCUCGUUGUCGUCGUGUUUCGGCCGACAGGGACAUGCGCCUGGAGGUAUUUUUUCUCGCCGCCGAUAUAGUACUCCUGGGGACCAUCGAAAUCAUCGUUAGAGCCGAGACUAGAAGCACAAUUCAGAUCAGCAAGUGUAAAGAUGCACCAUGAAUCUUGUCCUUGGUGAUUGUGAGGAUUUUCAGAAGCUCCCACCUGCGAAAGAAAAGAAGAAUAAGAGCGUCAAGCAUUUGUUCGGCGCAAAGGGUCAAACUUGCAUCGUCGAGUUUCAUCGAUCUGGUUGCAGACUUUGGAGGACGGAGGACGGAGGUCAGAGGGUCUAGUUGUAGAAAGAGCUCUCUUUCUUGCAUCAUCGAGUUUCGUCAGUUUGGUUGUAGACUUGGAGAACGGAGGGUCGAGCUUCAAUUCGGCACAGAGGAUAAGAGGGAGCAUAAUCGUCGAUCUGGUUGCAGACUUGGAGGACGGACUUCAGUUCAGCACAGAGGAUGAGAGAGAGCAGAGCAGAGUCAUUGGUCUGGUUGCAAACUUGGACGAAGGGUCUAAAUUUCAGUUCCGCUGCUGCUAAUGCCCCGGAUGUAGCAACCACACCUAUGGUUUGUCCCUAGAGAAAGCGGUGAGCUUCUUCCCUCUGCAUAUCAGCGAGGAGAAGAAGUCGAAAACAAAACCAAACAUGAAGAGAGGGUUCUCGGUUCUUCUCCCUCUUAUUUUCUCUCUGUCACCCAUCACUUCCUCUUUUCGUGUGCCUCAACACCCCACUUGGUUCAUCUGGCGAGCAGUGUCAAGGGAACAAUGGCGACUACAAAGUCAAGACUGCAUAGUCAAGAGCUACAACUCAUUCCAACUCCUACCGGAUCUGCAACUCAAUCACUAUUUCGCUUGCAUCACCCUUGGAGAAUUGCCUUAUAAAACCUUGAGACCUUGAGAAUGAAUCGGAGGAAGAUCCCCUUUUCUGCUAAAAACUUUCAUGUCUCCUCCGUCCCAAAGAUGGGUCGAUAUUUUGAAAAUUCAAGAAAUGAUGGAAGGUAAAUUUUACAUUUUUCUUUUUUAUGACAAUUGUGCAAUAGGGAUACUUUAAGAAAUUUGCCCUUAAAUGAUCCACUUAUUCAUCCUUCCUCUGAGGCAAAGGAUCUCUUAAGUAUCAAAGCCGCCUUCUUAUUUGCUUCU
Nelumbo nucifera (sacred lotus) is the source of this 1347-nucleotide non-coding RNA. Lineage: Eukaryota; Viridiplantae; Streptophyta; Magnoliopsida; Proteales; Nelumbonaceae. The record is from RefSeq and is a predicted model, not a curated record.